Molecule: ribosomal RNA, 2772 nt
Filed under: Escherichia coli 2-474-04_S4_C1
Lineage: Bacteria; Pseudomonadati; Pseudomonadota; Gammaproteobacteria; Enterobacterales; Enterobacteriaceae
Description: bacterial LSU rRNA
Rfam family: Bacterial large subunit ribosomal RNA
Source: RNAcentral
AGCGUACACGGUGGAUGCCCUGGCAGUCAGAGGCGAUGAAGGACGUGCUAAUCUGCGAUAAGCGUCGGUAAGGUGAUAUGAACCGUUAUAACCGGCGAUUUCCGAAUGGGGAAACCCAGUGUGAUUCGUCACACUAUCAUUAACUGAAUCCAUAGGUUAAUGAGGCGAACCGGGGGAACUGAAACAUCUAAGUACCCCGAGGAAAAGAAAUCAACCGAGAUUCCCCCAGUAGCGGCGAGCGAACGGGGAGCAGCCCAGAGCCUGAAUCAGUGUGUGUGUUAGUGGAAGCGUCUGGAAAGGCGCGCGAUACAGGGUGACAGCCCCGUACACAAAAAUGCACAUACUGUGAGCUCGAUGAGUAGGGCGGGACACGUGGUAUCCUGUCUGAAUAUGGGGGGACCAUCCUCCAAGGCUAAAUACUCCUGACUGACCGAUAGUGAACCAGUACCGUGAGGGAAAGGCGAAAAGAACCCCGGCGAGGGGAGUGAAAAAGAACCUGAAACCGUGUACGUACAAGCAGUGGGAGCACAGAGCAAUCUGUGUGACUGCGUACCUUUUGUAUAAUGGGUCAGCGACUUAUAUUCUGUAGCAAGGUUAACCGAAUAGGGGAGCCGAAGGGAAACCGAGUCUUAACUGGGCGUUAAGUUGCAGGGUAUAGACCCGAAACCCGGUGAUCUAGCCAUGGGCAGGUUGAAGGUUGGGUAACACUAACUGGAGGACCGAACCGACUAAUGUUGAAAAAUUAGCGGAUGACUUGUGGCUGGGGGUGAAAGGCCAAUCAAACCGGGAGAUAGCUGGUUCUCCCCGAAAGCUAUUUAGGUAGCGCCUCGUGAAUUCAUCUCCGGGGGUAGAGCACUGUUUCGGCAAGGGGGUCAUCCCGACUUACCAACCCGAUGCAAACUACGAAUACCGGAGAAUGUUAUCACGGGAGACACACGGCGGGUGCUAACGUCCGUCGUGAAGAGGGAAACAACCCAGACCGCCAGCUAAGGUCCCAAAGUCAUGGUUAAGUGGGAAACGAUGUGGGAAGGCCCAGACAGCCAGGAUGUUGGCUUAGAAGCAGCCAUCAUUUAAAGAAAGCGUAAUAGCUCACUGGUCGAGUCGGCCUGCGCGGAAGAUGUAACGGGGCUAAACCAUGCACCGAAGCUGCGGCAGCGACGCUUAUGCGUUGUUGGGUAGGGGAGCGUUCUGUAAGCCUGCGAAGGUGUGCUGUGAGGCAUGCUGGAGGUAUCAGAAGUGCGAAUGCUGACAUAAGUAACGAUAAAGCGGGUGAAAAGCCCGCUCGCCGGAAGACCAAGGGUUCCUGUCCAACGUUAAUCGGGGCAGGGUGAGUCGACCCCUAAGGCGAGGCCGAAAGGCGUAGUCGAUGGGAAACAGGUUAAUAUUCCUGUACUUGGUGUUACUGCGAAGGGGGGACGGAGAAGGCUAUGUUGGCCGGGCGACGGUUGUCCCGGUUUAAGCGUGUAGGCUGGUUUUCCAGGCAAAUCCGGAAAAUCAAGGCUGAGGCGUGAUGACGAGGCACUACGGUGCUGAAGCAACAAAUGCCCUGCUUCCAGGAAAAGCCUCUAAGCAUCAGGUAACAUCAAAUCGUACCCCAAACCGACACAGGUGGUCAGGUAGAGAAUACCAAGGCGCUUGAGAGAACUCGGGUGAAGGAACUAGGCAAAAUGGUGCCGUAACUUCGGGAGAAGGCACGCUGAUAUGUAGGUGAAGUCCCUCGCGGAUGGAGCUGAAAUCAGUCGAAGAUACCAGCUGGCUGCAACUGUUUAUUAAAAACACAGCACUGUGCAAACACGAAAGUGGACGUAUACGGUGUGACGCCUGCCCGGUGCCGGAAGGUUAAUUGAUGGGGUUAGCGCAAGCGAAGCUCUUGAUCGAAGCCCCGGUAAACGGCGGCCGUAACUAUAACGGUCCUAAGGUAGCGAAAUUCCUUGUCGGGUAAGUUCCGACCUGCACGAAUGGCGUAAUGAUGGCCAGGCUGUCUCCACCCGAGACUCAGUGAAAUUGAACUCGCUGUGAAGAUGCAGUGUACCCGCGGCAAGACGGAAAGACCCCGUGAACCUUUACUAUAGCUUGACACUGAACAUUGAGCCUUGAUGUGUAGGAUAGGUGGGAGGCUUUGAAGUGUGGACGCCAGUCUGCAUGGAGCCGACCUUGAAAUACCACCCUUUAAUGUUUGAUGUUCUAACGUGGACCCGUAAUCCGGGUUGCGGACAGUGUCUGGUGGGUAGUUUGACUGGGGCGGUCUCCUCCUAAAGAGUAACGGAGGAGCACGAAGGUUGGCUAAUCCUGGUCGGACAUCAGGAGGUUAGUGCAAUGGCAUAAGCCAGCUUGACUGCGAGCGUGACGGCGCGAGCAGGUGCGAAAGCAGGUCAUAGUGAUCCGGUGGUUCUGAAUGGAAGGGCCAUCGCUCAACGGAUAAAAGGUACUCCGGGGAUAACAGGCUGAUACCGCCCAAGAGUUCAUAUCGACGGCGGUGUUUGGCACCUCGAUGUCGGCUCAUCACAUCCUGGGGCUGAAGUAGGUCCCAAGGGUAUGGCUGUUCGCCAUUUAAAGUGGUACGCGAGCUGGGUUUAGAACGUCGUGAGACAGUUCGGUCCCUAUCUGCCGUGGGCGCUGGAGAACUGAGGGGGGCUGCUCCUAGUACGAGAGGACCGGAGUGGACGCAUCACUGGUGUUCGGGUUGUCAUGCCAAUGGCACUGCCCGGUAGCUAAAUGCGGAAGAGAUAAGUGCUGAAAGCAUCUAAGCACGAAACUUGCCCCGAGAUGAGU